AAACAGCUUGUAUUUUUUACUCAAGAAGGAAAAUUUACAACAGGUUAUGGGCCCAGGAGUACUCAAAAUGAAAAGACAUUUUUGAAUAAAUAAAGUGAAAAAAAAAUACAUAAAAACAAAGAUGAGUUCUACUAUGCAUAAUACUGAAAAAUUAGAUGACGAAAAUUACGACUCAUGGAGCUUUUCAAUGAAGGCGGUGCACAUCCAUCAGGGAUACCGGAAUAUAGCGAGUGGUGUACAUAUAAAGCCAACAACAGCAGAUGAGACAUGGAACACCAAAGACGAGAAGGCGAUGGCGUCAAUCAUUUUAAGUGUUAGAGAUGCUACAACUGUGGUCCGUCAAACAACAACAACGUAUUCAACGCAGGCGUAUGGUGCGUGGACAGCGGAGCCAUUUGUGUUGCGAGCGUAGUUUAUUUGAAACAUAUCAAGAGCACAAAAACACAAUUUCAUUGUCUGGUGAGAACAAAAUUUCUGCAGGAGGAAAGGGGACUGUGCGAAUAGCUGAGUGCAACGUGCUGCUGACUGAUGUGUUGUUUGUUCCCGAACUUCAACGUAACUGUAUCUCUGUAGGUAAAGUGUCAGCAAAAGACAAAGUACAAUUGUUGUUGGCUGUUGGGUGGCUUAUUUUUAGAUGGUUCGAUGAGAGAGUGCGUACUUUACGGACAAUGUCACUUAAAGUCACUUAAAUGGCAUUAUCGGUAUGGUCAUUUGAAUGUGGCAAGUUUAAAGAGACUAUAAGAGAAAAAAAAUAAAAUGCGUAGUUUGUAUGAAGACAAAUCUACAACAAAACCAUUCGGAGAACAGAGCGUCGCAUUUAAUAUAUUUAUGUGGUCCAAUAAAAAAGAGUCAAUUGGUGGUGCUCUUUACAUUCUGACUUUUAUUGCAAUUGGCCAAGAUUUGUUCACACUUACUUUUUAAAAAGAAAGGACCAGACAUUGCAGUACUUUAAAGAGUAUAAGUUACUUUCACAGUAACGUUACGAUUCGCAUCAUAUAUGAAGAAGAUGCCACCAGCGCAUAAACCGCACCAAACUGGUAGCUCUUGCAAUGCUUCUGACUAAUAUCCACUCCAAAAUCGACAAUUCUGCUUAUUUACGUACCUAUUGAACCAAAAAUAACUUAGUCGCUGAACACAAUUUGAACACGAUGAACUUUCUUAGCAGAGCACACAUUUUGAUAAUAAAAUUCAAUCAUUUGCAAGCGUUGUUCGUUUGUAAGACGAUUCUUGGUUAAAUUAUAGACCAAACUGAAGAUGUUUGACAGUGUUGCCAAAAAUCUGUCAUUACACAAAAACACAUGCAUUGGGAAAAAGUACAGCUAAUACACAGGGUUGUCGAGCGUGGUUAAUGUGGUAAUUAUAUCAUAGAGGCGUCUUCGCCAAUAAAACGAUUCAACUACAGCAUACCAACUAACGGCCCUUGAAGCCAUCACACCUAGUAUAGUUGAAAAGUCUUCUAAUCAAAGACGAAACGGGUUCCAUAGGCGUGCGUUGCAAUUGUAAACAAAAUCUCCGAUCAUUGAGCUUGGCUCGAAAGGGAAACAAACAAAAAUUAAUUUUUUUAUUGAAAAUUGUCUAAAUUCCAAUUACGAUCGUGAUUGAAAAAUAAAUGCGGAUUCAAUUAAAAAAUUAUUGAUUCAAUUAAUUUUUGAUUAACAAAAUUAUUGUGAUAUUUUUGUCUGUGUAGUGUAACUGUAAAUAAGUGUUUAAUAUAGUAAUACUGUUACAAAAAUGUGCUUAAAUUAGUUAUCAAGCCAUUUUUUUCGCCUUUUGUUUCUAUUUUAUGUGCAAAAGCAAAAAAUGGUAAAGCAUCGAGAAUAAAACUAAUGCUUGGUUGCUGUUUGAAGCGUUUAAAAAUA
This is a long non-coding RNA of Stomoxys calcitrans (stable fly), 1859 nucleotides long. RefSeq lists it as uncharacterized. Lineage: Eukaryota; Metazoa; Arthropoda; Insecta; Diptera; Muscidae. The record is from RefSeq and is a predicted model, not a curated record. The transcript is spliced from 2 exons.